GGACUCCUCAGCUCUUCUCACAAUGAGGCUCCCUGCUCAGCUCCUGGGGCUGCUAAUGCUCUGGGUCCCUGGAUCCAGUGGGGAUAUUGUGAUGACCCAGACACCACUCUUCCUGUCUGUCACUCCUGGAGAGCAGGCCUCCAUCUCCUGCAGGUCUAGUCAGAGCCUCCUGCAUAGUGAUGGAAACACCUACUUGAAUUGGAUUUUGCAGAAGCCAGGUCAACCUCCAAGGCGCCUAAUUUAUAAGGGCACAACCUCCUGACCUGAAGACUUACUAGUAUGUUAGUCACACCCUGUGCAGGAGUCAGUCCCAGACAGGACACAGCAUGGACAUGAGGACCCCUUCUCUCCUGGGGCUCCUGCUGCUCUGGCUCCCAGGUGAGAAAGGAGAAUGCUAGGAAUUUACUAAACAAGUGUGCUCAGUAUUGACUGGCCAUUCAGGGAAAUCAUCUUAUAAAUAAUUGUGUGAAUAUUUGUUUCUAUGUUUGUAGUCCCAGGAGUUAAAUGUGACAUCCAGAUGACCCAGUCUCCAUCCUCCCUGACUGCAUCUGUAGGAGACAGAGUCACCAUCUCUUGCUGGGUGAGUCAGGGCAUUAGCAUCAUUUAAGCCAGUAUCAGCAGAAACUAGGGAAUCCUCCUAAGGUCCUGAUCUAUGCUUCAUCCAGUUUGCAAUCUUGGUCCCAUCACAGUUCAUUGGCAGUGGGUCUGGGACACACUUUGCUUUCACCAUCAGCAGGCUGCAACUUGAAAAUGUUAUAACUUAUUCCUGUCUACAGACUUGCAGUAGCCCUCCUACAGUGUUACAAAUGGUAAAGUAAAUCCCCAGGGAGGCAGAAUUGUGAGGCAUGGCUGCUCCAGGUGCUUCCACUGGUGCGUCCACCUGCUGAGAAUGUUUCUCAGGUGCAGGCAAGGUUUAAAGGUUUUGUAGAAAUGGCCAGAAGUCUCCUCUGCAUUCUAACACUCUUUCUUCCCUUUCAGCCCCAGCAGCAUAGACAUGACACUAUCUCUCCUGAUUUAAUAAGGGAUAGCAAUUAUGAUACCCAAAGAUCCUGUGUUAUUGCAUCCAUCUGGGUCAUAGAUCAAACAAGAAACCACUCUACAGAUUGCAAGAAGACAUUGUUUUAAUACAGGGAAUUAGAGAUACAAAAAUGGGGAUAUGGUAGUAAGGGAAGCUGAUACUAGAAACGGAAAUCUCUGGAGGUCUGCCAGAAGCCAGAAUUCAUUGGCCCCUAAAGUCAUGGGCUGUCUAACCAUGUGGUCUUCUUUGUCUAGGAAGUCCAGAUGUCAAGAUGCUGAUGCUAUCGCUUGGUGCAGCACCUCACCACGUGAUUCUCCAGCCCUCAUCUAAGUGAACAUGUUUGCCUACAAUUGUCAAAGAAUAUUGAAUAACCUUCUUCUUACCUUUAAAUAUGAUGAGAAGGCUUCUCUUUGAGUAACUCUACAAGAAACUAUAGAGGGUUAAAUGGGUUUUGGGAAAGGUGCUUUUAGAAAUCAUGAUGAAUAUGAGGAAUUAGAAGGUGACAGCCAAGUAGGAGAAGUAUUUCCCCAAAUCUCACAAUUUUCCAGAUAUGAAGUGACUUCAGGAUAUGUUUGAAUGUGUUUACACAUAUUAUUAGAAAGUCUGGUAUUAUUGCUGAAAACUUUAUUAAGUCAUAAAGUAAAAGGAAAAAAUGAUAAAAUUGCUUAGAAUAUAUAGCAAUCAUUUGACAGAUGAAAAAAAAAACCUUUUUUGACAAAACAAAUAAAAACACCUAUAGGUGCAUGUAGUAUACUUUUCCCUUAGUAUAAAAGCACAUUGCUACUUAAAGUUUGUCCAGAUUCCAGUGGCAUUCUCAGCGUCACCAUGAACACAUUAGAAAUGCAAAGUAGCAGAUGUACCUUAGACAUUAUUGCAUGAUAACUGCACUUCAACAGGUGAGAGGUAAUGUUUGAGUGUUUUAAGAAGCCAAGUUUUAGAAGACAUUUACUUUAGCUAAAGAGUUUUUUUUUCCUACAGUGAGACCAUUUAUGUUAAAACAAGUUAAAAAUAUAUACUGCCUUAUGUCUAACUAAUGCAAAAUUACAUUAGAAAAUAUUUGUAAUAUUCUAAAAGUUGAAAAACAUAAUUUUUUAUCAAUGGAUCAAAUACUUUGAUAGUUAAAUGCAGUAAAUGUUUUAGAAACUUUAGGAAUUAACACAGUGACAUGAUAAAUUAAAACUGUGUUCACUGUAUUAUGAAAGAUUGGGUUAACAUUUGCCUGGUAAGUUUUGUUUGAAAAUUGUAUUUCUUUUUGCUGCCUGACAUACAAAUGUUGUGCCUUGGCUAGGCCCCUCCUUGAUCCCAAAUGAAACACAACCUAAAGGCUGGAGAAUCACCCUGCUAAGCCCUUCCUUAAUCAGCCAUAUCAUUGUUAUCAUGAACAUCUAUGAACAAUAAAAUGCCUGCUUAGUUUUAUUAUCCACUGAGUUUUGAGCAGUAGAUAAGUACACUUUUCUGUAAGUGCACUUUUUCUAUAAGUGAGGUGAAUUUCCCUUUUUAAUGUAUAUUGUUUAGUUUUAAUUCCUUCUCCGUGUCUUUAUAAAUGGAUGAAUAAGCAUUUAUAUUUAUGCCAUCAGAUUUGAUAACAUAUAUCAACCUAUAUGACUGGAUGUAUGAAUAUUAUAUUGGUCAGCUUUCACCCAUGGGCAGGUCAGAAAAGGCUGUUAGCUCAGCCUGAGUGUAGAAUUUCUAUCUUAUAAUUUUAUCUAUAAUAUAUAAUAUAAUUAUUAUAAUAUUAUCUAUCUUAUAAUUUCUAUCACAAAAUUAUAUCCCUGUGUCCUUCUGUCUCACCAAUUACCUAGAUUCCGUGAAUGGUGUAUGGCACAAAACUUGUAGAAACAAAAUUAAGAUGUGUGUGGUCCCAUUUCUUUUGUUUCUACCCUAAAUAUAUGGUUGGAAUGAAGAGUUAAUUGGAUUUUUAUCUCCCAAGUACAUCUUUCACUUGUUGCUUAGGGAUCUUUUCCAAGGGUCCUGAAGCUUCCUCAAAGAGCAAUACUCAAGUAACCCCAGUGCUACAGGUGCAAGAAUGACCACAACUGCACAGAGGAGCAGCACCCAGUUUCUGACCCUUCAGGUUACCAAUACCAUUUCUGGGAAGACAGACAAUGAUGCUGUCCAUGCAGGCAGAGACAAUUCCUUGAGUGAUCCUCUAUACACCACUUGAUUCUGUACAUUGCUUACAUCAACCCAGAGUCAGGUCCUCUUCUUCUUAAUAGUUCUGAGAACCUCUGUUUACACCCCUAAAUCUCAUUUCAUAUAGAGCUGCUCCUUUUCUUUAAUCAGUUAAAAUGUUUUGCAUUUUCAUCCUUUCUCUAGGUAUCAAGGAAGCAGUUUUAUUAAUGCUACUCUAAGUUCCAAUUGGAUCUUCAUUCAUUCUGGAAUUAGAGACACCAAUAUUUAUCUAAGUGUCAAGAUGUUAUCUUCGCAGUCCCGAAAAUCAAACCCAUUGUGUUGGAGACAGAGCUUUAAUGCUUACAGAUUAUGUGACAUUAGUAAAGUUGCUUAUAUGAAACUUUGGCAAUAAUAGAAUCUAUCCAAAAGGUCUCUUUACAAUUUACACAAGGUAAAGCAUUUAGAACAGUCUCUUAUCAUUAUAUAUGCUGGUAUUAAUUUUGUUAUUACUAUUA
RNAcentral lists this long non-coding RNA (3645 nucleotides) under Cebus imitator (Panamanian white-faced capuchin). RNAcentral's name for it is "lncRNA (ENSCCAG00000038176.1)". The record is from RNAcentral. Lineage: Eukaryota; Metazoa; Chordata; Mammalia; Primates; Cebidae.